Long non-coding RNA from Pogoniulus pusillus (Red-fronted tinkerbird), 771 nucleotides. RefSeq lists it as uncharacterized. The transcript is spliced from 3 exons. The record is from RefSeq and is a predicted model, not a curated record. NCBI's taxonomy places the organism in Eukaryota, Metazoa, Chordata, Aves, Piciformes, Lybiidae.
UCUUCAGCUGUGACUCCACAGAGUCUUGCUUUACAGGGUGUCUGCAAAAAUACAUAGUGCAUUUAGAAGCAAUACAGAAAAUAUGUUUUCCUUCUGCUAGAUAUGGUUUUCAAGGUAAAGGUACCUGCAGAGCUUUUCUGAUGGUGCAUCUUUAACUGAUGUAUCAAUACUAGCUGCAGUUACUCUGGUCUCAGUCUCUUCACGUGGCUCUAGAAUGCUUCCAAUUCCUGUUGAGGUACUACCCACCGAGGUGUUUCUUCUGUGGCAGAGGUCAGACAGACUGGAUGAUCUUGAGUGACAUGUGCUGUAUCCUGUUGGCAAAGUACAGGAGAGCUAGGUUAGCUAUGCUCUUGACAGCCAAGGUCAUGACUUACACAUUAGCAGCCUAAAAGCAGAAUUAUGCUUUGUUGUCUUCUAGAGACUUUGAAAGCCCUGUGGAUGAAGCGUGUGUGUACCAGCUAGCUACCUGACAGCUUUGACUGCUGACUUGCAUAGCUUGACGUUCUGGAAUGUCCACAUGCACCAAGUUCAUCUGGAACCGAGGCACUCUUCGAUGACAUAUCUGCAACAUGGGCAGAUAAACUUAGAGAAGUAAAAUGAGAUUCCACAGAUGUUAUCUCGGUGACUUUCUCAACAAAUAACCAAAGAGAGAGUUCUUUCUAUGGGCUAAGUAUUAACAUCUCUAAGAUCUGAAGUUUUCUCCUUGAAGCUAUGAAGCCAAAUAUUGAAGAACCAAGAUUAAGAGCAUUGUUUUAUACCUGAUAUGCCCAG